AUAUAAAUAGUAUAUAACAUUACAUAAGUUUUUCGUACUUAAAAUACAGUACUUACUGUUUUAUAUA
Molecule: transfer RNA, 67 nt
Filed under: Ridgeia piscesae
Lineage: Eukaryota; Metazoa; Annelida; Polychaeta; Sabellida; Siboglinidae
Description: tRNA-Glu
Source: RNAcentral